UACGUAGGGGGCAAGCGUUGUCCGGAAUCAUUGGGCGUAAAGCGCGUGUAGGCGGCUCGAUAAGUCCGCUCUGAAAGUCCAGGGCUCAACUCUGGGAUGCGGGUGGAUACUGUCGGGCUCGAGUCCGGAAGAGGCGAGUGGAAUUCCUGGUGUAGCGGUGAAAUGCGCAGAUAUCAGGAGGAACACCAAUGGCGAAGGCAGCUCGCUGGGACGUGACUGACGCUGAGACGCGAAAGCGUGGGGAGCGAACAGG
Molecule: ribosomal RNA, 253 nt
Filed under: uncultured bacterium
Lineage: Bacteria
Description: partial 16S ribosomal RNA
Rfam family: Bacterial small subunit ribosomal RNA
Source: RNAcentral